CAGCUUGGUGAGUAUAUAACCCCUUAAAGUCACUGUGUCUAUACAACUUUCUUGCAUCUCCCAGGUCAUGGCAAUCUUUGCUCUCCACUCCCACGUCCCCCACAGCAUUGGAGUGACAGGCUUACUCCCAUCCUAAGUUAGUGAAGAAGAACAGCCGAGACUACUGUGAUAUGGGCAAACUUCUGCUGACGUGUGCACCUCAGCCACUCAGUAGCUUGCUCACUGGUGGCAUUAUCACGAUUUCUACUGCAAACCUUCAACCAAAGCCUCCUCCUCCCCUGCUACUUCCCACAGACAACUCUGAACAGGCUGUGGGCAGCACUACUUCCUUCUACCUGAGGGCAGAACACAUAUGAGAGGGAAGCAAAAUGGCAGGAUCCAGGAGAGGGAGCAACCAGAGCGGUGAGUACCCAGGGUAAAACCAGGAAAUGCCUACCCACAAGACCCACAGAAAAAGCAAUGGGGCACACAUGCUCCUACAUGGAAUUCCUGGAUGCAAGGCUUCACCAAGAAUUUUUCCUCUCUGAUGGCCAAUGGCUCCAGGCGUUUCCCUGUCUCUUCUUCCAGGAGCAACGGCUGUUUAUUAUUCCUCAUGCCCACUCCCCAUGACCAAACAA
This is a long non-coding RNA of Corapipo altera (White-ruffed manakin), 617 nucleotides long. RefSeq lists it as uncharacterized. The transcript has 3 exons. NCBI's taxonomy places the organism in Eukaryota, Metazoa, Chordata, Aves, Passeriformes, Pipridae. The record is from RefSeq and is a predicted model, not a curated record.